Molecule: transfer RNA, 76 nt
Filed under: Gemmatimonadota bacterium
Lineage: Bacteria; Pseudomonadati; Gemmatimonadota
Description: Gemmatimonadetes bacterium tRNA-Lys
Rfam family: tRNA
About the family: Transfer RNA (tRNA) molecules are approximately 80 nucleotides in length. Their secondary structure includes four short double-helical elements and three loops (D, anti-codon, and T loops). Further hydrogen bonds mediate the characteristic L-shaped molecular structure. tRNAs have two regions of fundamental functional importance: the anti-codon, which is responsible for specific mRNA codon recognition, and the 3' end, to which the tRNAs corresponding amino acid is attached (by aminoacyl-tRNA synthetases). tRNAs cope with the degeneracy of the genetic code in two manners: having more than one tRNA (with a specific anti-codon) for a particular amino acid; and 'wobble' base-pairing, i.e. permitting non-standard base-pairing at the 3rd anti-codon position.
Source: RNAcentral
GAGCCCGUAGCUCAGUUGGUAGAGCAAUUGACUUUUAAUCAAUGGGUCCCGGGUUCGAGCCCCGGCGGGCUUACCA